Molecule: ribosomal RNA, 925 nt
Filed under: uncultured bacterium
Lineage: Bacteria
Description: bacterial SSU rRNA
Rfam family: Bacterial small subunit ribosomal RNA
Source: RNAcentral
ACAUGCAAGUCGAACGGGGUAGCAAUACCCAGUGGCAGACGGGUGAGUAACACGUGGUCAACCUACCUCUGUGUGGGGGAUAACUAGCCGAAAGGUUAGCUAAUACCGCAUACGAUCGCUUUGAGGCAUCUCGAAACGAUGAAAGGAGCAAUCCGCACGGUGAGGGGACUGCGUCCCAUUAGUUAGUUGGUGGGGUAACGGCCUACCAAGACUCCGAUGGGUAGCUGGCUUGAGAGAGCGACCAGCCACACUGGAACUGAGACACGGUCCAGACUCCUACGGGAGGCAGCAGUGAGGAAUUUUCCGCAAUGGGCGAAAGCCUGACGGAGCGACGCCGCGUGUGGGAAGAAGGCCUUCGGGUCGUAAACCACUGUCGAAGGGGACGAUACUGACGGUACCGGAGGAAUAAGCACCGGCUAACUUCGUGCCAGCAGCCGCGGUAAUACGAAGGGUGCAAGCGUUACUCGGAAUUACUGGGCGUAAAGGGUGCGUAGGUGGUUUUUUAAGUCUGCUGUGAAAUCCCCGGGCUCAACCUGGGAAUGGCAGUGGAUACUGGAAAGCUGGAGUGCGGUAGAGGGUAGUGGAAUUCCCGGUGUAGCAGUGAAAUGCGUAGAGAUCGGGAGGAACACCAGUGGCGAAGGCGGCUACCUGGACCAGCACUGACACUGAGGCACGAAAGCGUGGGGAGCAAACAGGAUUAGAUACCCUGGUAGUCCACGCCCUAAACGAUGCGAACUGGAUGUUGGGUGCAACUUGGCACUCAGUAUCGAAGCUAACGCGUUAAGUUCGCCGCCUGGGGAGUACGGUCGCAAGACUGAAACUCAAAGGAAUUGACGGGGGCCCGUACAAGCGGUGGAGUAUGUGGUUUAAUUCGAUGCAACGCGCAGAACCUUACCUGGCCUUGACAUGUCGCGAACCUUGCAGA